AGCUAACGGCGGGCAAGACGCGGGGGGAGUACGGAGGGGGCGGGGGUGAAUAGGAAUGACUGGGCGGAAGUGGUGCGCAGGGGGUUUGGGAAGACAGGCGUGAGAUCCCCGGGCGUAACCUGGGAACUGCGCUUGGGACUGCCAGGCUAGAGUACGGCAGAGGGGGGUGGAAUUCCACGUGUAGCAGUGAAAUGCGUAGAGAUGUGGAGGAACACCAAUGGCGAAGGCAGCCCCCUGGGUCGAUACUGACGCUCAUGCACGAAAGCGUGGGUAGCAAACAGGAUAGAUACCCCGGUAGUC
This 300-nucleotide ribosomal RNA is filed under the name uncultured Sulfophobococcus sp. RNAcentral's name for it is "partial 16S ribosomal RNA". The stretch from base 53 to 300 matches the Rfam family "Bacterial small subunit ribosomal RNA", at positions 547 to 795 of the family's 1533-position model. Lineage: Archaea; Thermoproteati; Thermoproteota; Thermoprotei; Desulfurococcales; Desulfurococcaceae. The record is from RNAcentral.